GGAAUGUCACCCAGCGAGGAGCCCUCUGAUACAUGUGGUCAGAAGACGGACCUGCUCCUCUCACGAAGAAGAAGAGGAAAGAAGAAGAAGGAUAGCAGCUCCCUGACGACAGCUCUAGCCACACAGCGUCAAGUGUCAAUCCAGAGUAAACAUCUUGGGCAGGUGUACCAAGAGCCAAAAAUCCAUUGUCAGCUCAGUGGAGGCCGUGUGGCUCUGAGCUGCUGCUCAGCUGUGGAGUCCACAGAGUCUGGAGGAGAAAUGGAGGCUGAUUCACUCUAAUCACAGUGUGCAAGGGUCUAGAGCUUCUUUACAACUGAUAAGACGACUGCAUUCCUGGUGAGCCUGUGGGCUGGCCCUGUGGGUGACCCCACUUGACAAUGUCCAGUCACGAGAGGCUCCAGUGCCCGUACAGCACGCAAUAGAGAGCUCUGUGCAGCUCCACUCAUCUUUCUCCCCAUCUCCCUCCACCAAACACUCACCCACACUGAAGAGUGCAGAGAUAAGGAGCAGAAGGCAGGGUGUUCUUUGACUGUACUCCACACUGGGCCCCUGAUAACUGCAUUUUUGGAG
Scatophagus argus is the source of this 570-nucleotide long non-coding RNA. RefSeq lists it as uncharacterized. The record is from RefSeq and is a predicted model, not a curated record. The transcript has 3 exons. NCBI's taxonomy places the organism in Eukaryota, Metazoa, Chordata, Actinopteri, Scatophagidae.